CCUACGGGGUGCAGCAGUGGGGAAUAUUGCACAAUGGGCGAAACCCUGAUGCAGCGACGCCGCGUGAGUGAAGAAGUAAUUCGUUAUGUAAAGCUCUAUUAGCAGGGAAGAAAAUGACGGUACCUGACCAAGAAGCCCCGGCUAACUACGUGCCAGCAGCCGCGGUAAUACGCAGGGGGCAAGCGUUAUCCGGAUGUACUGGGUGUAAAGGGAGCUUAGACGGCAGGGCAAGUCUGGAGUGAAAGGCGGGGGCUCAACCCGCGGACUGCUGUGGAAACUGCCAGGCUGGAGUGCAGGAGAGGUAAGUGGAAUUCCUAGUGUAGCGGUGAAAUGCGUAGAUAUUAGGAGGAACACCAGUGGCGAAGGCGGCUUACUGGACUGUAACUGACGUUGAGGCACGAAAGCGUGGGGAGCGAACAGGAUUAGAUACCCCAGUAGUC
RNAcentral lists this ribosomal RNA (440 nucleotides) under uncultured bacterium. RNAcentral's name for it is "partial 16S ribosomal RNA". It matches the Rfam family "Bacterial small subunit ribosomal RNA", at positions 338 to 795 of the family's 1533-position model. The record is from RNAcentral.